UACGAAGGGGGCUAGCGUUGUUCGGAUUUACUGGGCGUAAAGCGCACGUAGGCGGAUCGUUAAGUCGGGGGUGAAAUCCUGGAGCUCAACUCCAGAACUGCCUUCGAUACUGGCGAUCUCGAGUUCGGGAGAGGUGGGUGGAACUGCGAGUGUAGAGGUGAAAUUCGUAGAUAUUCGCAAGAACACCAGUGGCGAAGGCGGCUCACUGGCCCGAUACUGACGCUGAGGUGCGAAAGCGUGGGGAGCAAACAGG
This 253-nucleotide ribosomal RNA is filed under the name uncultured bacterium. RNAcentral describes it as "partial 16S ribosomal RNA". It matches the Rfam family "Bacterial small subunit ribosomal RNA", at positions 524 to 776 of the family's 1533-position model. The record is from RNAcentral.